This 429-nucleotide ribosomal RNA is filed under the name Chloroflexota bacterium. RNAcentral describes it as "Chloroflexi bacterium partial 16S ribosomal RNA". It matches the Rfam family "Bacterial small subunit ribosomal RNA", at positions 355 to 776 of the family's 1533-position model. Lineage: Bacteria; Bacillati; Chloroflexota. The record is from RNAcentral.
UGGGGAAUAUUGCACAAUGGGCGCAAGCCUGAUGCAGCCAUGCCGCGCGUGUGAAGAAGGCCUUCGGGUUGUAAAGCACUUUCAGCGGGGAGGAAGGCGAUAAGGUUAAUAACCUUGUCGAUGGACGUUACCCGCAGAAGAAGCACCGGCUAACUCCGUGCCAGCAGCCGCGGUAAUACGGAGGGUGCAAGCGUUAAACGGAAUUACUGGGCGUAAAGCGCACGCAGGCGGUCUGUCAAGUCGGAUGUGAAAUCCCCGGGCUCAACCUGGGAACUGCAUUCGAAACUGGCAGGCUAGAGUCUUGUAGAGGGGGGUAGAAUUCCCGGUGUAGCGGUGAAAUGCGUAGGGAUCUGGAGGAAUACCGGUGGCGAAGGCGGCCCCCUGGACAAAAUCUGACGCUCAGGUGCGAAAGCGUGGGGAGCAAACAGG